This 333-nucleotide ribosomal RNA is filed under the name Triticum aestivum (bread wheat). RNAcentral's name for it is "partial small subunit ribosomal RNA". The record is from RNAcentral. Lineage: Eukaryota; Viridiplantae; Streptophyta; Magnoliopsida; Poales; Poaceae.
UGUAGUCUUAAUGAUGAUGCAUACAUAUCAACUAUGGGUGUUGGGUCCAACAAUUCGCAUUGGUCUCAAACCAAUGACAUCCAUUUGGAAGACCAUGAGUUUGAGGUGGACAAGGAGGGUGAGGGCAUUGUCGACGCGCCGAAAGGAAGAGCGGGCAAUUACAGCACCAACAAUGACAAGUUACUAUGCAAUACUUAUUUGCAAGUGUCGAGGGAUCCAUCCAUUGGAGGUGAUCAAAGUAGAGAUGCGUAUUGGGGGCGAAUGAAAGAAUACUUUGAUGAUCACAACAUGAGUGGAAUUGACCGCUCCGAGAGAUCACUUCAGUCCCGAUGA